This 162-nucleotide ribosomal RNA is filed under the name uncultured bacterium. RNAcentral's name for it is "partial 16S rRNA". It matches the Rfam family "Bacterial small subunit ribosomal RNA", at positions 358 to 511 of the family's 1533-position model. The record is from RNAcentral.
GGAAUCUUCGGCAAUGGACGAAAGUCUGACCGAGCAACGCCGCGUGAGUGAAGAAGGUUUUCGGAUCGUAAAACUCUGUUGGUAGAGAAGGACGUUGGUGAGAGUGGAAAGCUCAUCAAGUGACGGUAACUACCCAGAAAGGGACGGCUAACUACGUGCCAG